RNAcentral lists this ribosomal RNA (600 nucleotides) under uncultured Actinobacteridae bacterium. RNAcentral describes it as "bacterial SSU rRNA". It matches the Rfam family "Bacterial small subunit ribosomal RNA", at positions 252 to 866 of the family's 1533-position model. The record is from RNAcentral. Lineage: Bacteria; Bacillati; Actinomycetota; Actinomycetes.
GUGAGGUAACGGCUCACCAAGGCAUCGACGGGUAGCUGGUCUGAGAGGACGAUCAGCCACACUGGGACUGAGACACGGCCCAGACUCCUACGGGAGGCAGCAGUAGGGAAUCUUGCGCAAUGGGCGAAAGCCUGACGCAGCAACGCCGCGUGGGGGACGAAGGCCCUAGGGUUGUAAACCCCUUUCAGCAGGGACGAAAAUGACGGUACCUGCAGAAGAAGCCCCGGCCAACUACGUGCCAGCAGCCGCGGUAAUACGUAGGGGGCAAGCGUUGUCCGGAUUUAUUGGGCGUAAAGAGCUCGUAGGCGGUUCGGUAAGUCAGGUGUGAAAAUCCAAGGCUCAACCUUGGGACGCCACCCGAUACUGCUGUGACUAGAGUCCGGUAGAGGAGUGUGGAAUUCCUGGUGUAGCGGUGAAAUGCGCAGAUAUCAGGAGGAACACCUGCGGCGAAGGCGGCACUCUGGGCCGGUACUGACGCUGAGGAGCGAAAGCAUGGGGAGCAAACAGGAUUAGAUACCCUGGUAGUCCAUGCCGUAAACGUUGGGCACUAGGUAUGGGGUCUUAUCAACGGAUUCCGUGCCGUAGCUAACGCAUUAAGUG